Myotis davidii is the source of this 46-nucleotide non-coding RNA. Lineage: Eukaryota; Metazoa; Chordata; Mammalia; Chiroptera; Vespertilionidae. The record is from Rfam.
CCAAAGGCUCUUUUCAGAGCCACCCACAUUUUCUGAAGAGCGCUGU